GCGAGGUGGUGCUAAUCCUAGAAACUCUCUCGUAGUCCGGAUUGGAGUCUGCAACUCGACUCCAUGAAGUUGGAAUUGCUAGUAAUCGCGGAUCAGCAUGCCGCGGUGAAUACGUUCUCGGGUCUUGUACACACCGCCCGUCACACCAUGGAAGUGGAUUGCACCAGAAGUAGAUAGUCUAACCUUAGGGAGGGCGUUUACCACGGUGUGCUUCAUGACUGGGGUGAAGUCGUAACAAGGUAGCCGUAGGGGAACCUGUGGCUGGAUCACCUCCUU
RNAcentral lists this ribosomal RNA (276 nucleotides) under uncultured SAR86 cluster bacterium. Its description in RNAcentral is "partial 16S ribosomal RNA". It matches the Rfam family "Bacterial small subunit ribosomal RNA", at positions 1257 to 1532 of the family's 1533-position model. Lineage: Bacteria; Pseudomonadati; Pseudomonadota; Gammaproteobacteria. The record is from RNAcentral.